UUAAUUGAAGCCAAAUAGAGGCUUAUUAUUGUUAAUAAUAAAAUUGAAUUUUAUUUCCAGUUAAA
Molecule: transfer RNA, 65 nt
Filed under: Diprion sp.
Lineage: Eukaryota; Metazoa; Arthropoda; Insecta; Hymenoptera; Diprionidae
Also listed under: 1 other name
Description: tRNA-Asn
Source: RNAcentral